GGGGUAUACAGACUUUUGGUUUGUCUUGAGAAAUUCAAGACUUAAAUGAAGGAAGCAGCAUUUCUACAGGCCGGCAGUUGAGCUGCGGCACUAGGGGCUACGGCUCUCUUCUUUCACUAAACAUCCCUUGCAAGCGUCUGUGGCAUGCGGAUCUGUGACAUCCUCUUCCCUUGAUGUGUCACAGGGUAUAACCACAGAGGGUGUAAUGCAAGAAUCUCCCCGAAGACACCAAUGAUCAGAAACAGGAAAUGUUGGAACUUGCCACCGCUGUCAUCCAGCCCACCAAGCAUCUUUGCCCUGACCAGUGCCAUGUGCCAGAAUUGGUGUUUCUCUCCCCUGGCCUCUGUUAAAAACAUGAGCGGCUGAAGACAAGCAGACAUGUGCUUCUCCCUGAAAGCACCUGAGUAGAGGUUUGGCAGCGGG
Molecule: long non-coding RNA, 423 nt
Filed under: Heterocephalus glaber (naked mole-rat)
Lineage: Eukaryota; Metazoa; Chordata; Mammalia; Rodentia; Bathyergidae
Description: lncRNA (ENSHGLG00000027532.2)
Source: RNAcentral